GACGAACGCUGGCUGCGUGCUUAACACAUGCAAGUCGAACGCUGAAGCCGACAGCUUGCUGUUGGUGGAUGAGUGGCGAACGGGUGAGUAACACGUGGGUAACCUGCCCCUGAUUUCGGGAUAAGCCUGGGAAACUGGGUCUAAUACCGGAUACGACCACCUGACGCAUGUUGGGUGGUGGAAAGUUUUUCGAUCGGGGAUGGGCUCGCGGCCUAUCAGCUUGUUGGUGGGGUAAUGGCCUACCAAGGCGACGACGGGUAGCCGGCCUGAGAGGGCGACCGGCCACACUGGGACUGAGACACGGCCCAGACUCCUACGGGAGGCAGCAGUGGGGAAUAUUGCACAAUGGGGGAAACCCUGAUGCAGCGACGCAGCGUGCGGGAUGACGGCCUUCGGGUUGUAAACCGCUUUCAGCAGGGAAGAAGCGAAAGUGACGGUACCUGCAGAAGAAGUACCGGCUAACUACGUGCCAGCCGCCGCCGUAA
Molecule: ribosomal RNA, 485 nt
Filed under: uncultured bacterium
Lineage: Bacteria
Description: partial 16S ribosomal RNA
Rfam family: Bacterial small subunit ribosomal RNA
Source: RNAcentral